Molecule: unclassified non-coding RNA, 335 nt
Filed under: soil metagenome
Description: partial contains 5.8S ribosomal RNA, internal transcribed spacer 2, and large subunit ribosomal RNA
Rfam family: 5.8S ribosomal RNA (bases 1-120)
Source: RNAcentral
GAUGAAGAACGUAGCGAAAUGCGAUAAGUAGUGUGAAUUGCAGAAUUCAGUGAAUCAUCGAAUCUUUGAACGCACAUUGCGCCCCUUGGUAUUCCAUGGGGCAUGCCUGUUCGAGCGUCAUUUGUACCUUCAAGCUUUGCUUGGUGUUGGGUGUUUGUCUCGCCUUUGCGUGUAGACUCGCCUUAAAAUAAUUGGCAGCCGGCGUAUUGAUUUCGGAGCGCAGUACAUCUCGCGCUUUGCACUCAUACGACAGCGUCCAAAAGUACAUUUUACACUCUUGACCUCGGAUCAGGUAGGGAUACCCGCUGAACUUAAGCAUAUCAAUAAGCGGAGGA